Molecule: ribosomal RNA, 436 nt
Filed under: uncultured bacterium
Lineage: Bacteria
Description: bacterial SSU rRNA
Rfam family: Bacterial small subunit ribosomal RNA
Source: RNAcentral
AGUGGCGGACGGGUGAGUAAUGUCUGGGAAACUGCCUGAUGGAGGGGGAUAACUACUGGAAACGGUAGCUAAUACCGCAUAACGUCGCAAAACCAAAGAGGGGGACCUUCGGGCCUCUUGCCAUCGGAUGUGCCCAGAUGGGAUUAGCUAGUAGGUGGGGUAACGGCUCACCUAGGCGACGAUCCCUAGCUGGUCUGAGAGGAUGACCAGCCACACUGGAACUGAGACACGGUCCAGACUCCUACGGGAGGCAGCAGUGGGGAAUAUUGCACAAUGGGCGCAAGCCUGAUGCAGCCAUGCCGCGUGUAUGAAGAAGGCCUUCGGGUUGUAAAGUACUUUCAGCGGGGAGGAAGGGAGUAAAGUUAAUACCUUUGCUCAUUGACGUUACCCGCAGAAGAAGCACCGGCUAACUCCGUGCCAGCAGCCGCGGUAAUAC